Molecule: ribosomal RNA, 371 nt
Filed under: uncultured bacterium
Lineage: Bacteria
Description: bacterial SSU rRNA
Rfam family: Bacterial small subunit ribosomal RNA
Source: RNAcentral
GUUACGGNGCAAGCGUUGUCCGGAUUUAUUGGGCGUAAAGAGCGUGUAGGCGGCCAGACAGGUCCGUUGUGAAAACUCGAGGCUCAACCUCGAGACGCCGAUGGAAACCGUCUGGCUAGAGUCCGGAAGAGGAGAGUGGAAUUCCCGGUGUAGCGGUGAAUGCGCAGAUAUCGGGAAGAACACCCGUGGCUAAGGCGGCUCUCUAGUACGGUACUGACGCUGAGACGCGAAAGCGUGGGGAGCGAACAGGAUUAGAUACCCUGGUAGUCCACGCCGUAAACGAUGGGUGCUAGGUGUGGGGGGUGUCGACUCCCUCCGUGCCGAAGCUAACGCAUUAAGCACCCCGCCUGGGGAGUACGGCCGCAAGGCUA